CAUGGAUCCCAAAUUUGUGCCGUUUGAUCAAAUGUAUAAUCUGCUCGUGGUGGAGCCGAUAAUAACCGGAUUGGUCAGUGGACAAAUGUUUCUCACGAGUUAAACCCAGAGGCUCAGAUGGGGAUGUUCACACUAAAGGCUUUUAUUGCUGA
Pimephales promelas (fathead minnow) is the source of this 152-nucleotide non-coding RNA. The record is from RefSeq and is a predicted model, not a curated record. Lineage: Eukaryota; Metazoa; Chordata; Actinopteri; Cypriniformes; Leuciscidae.